GCAGUCGAACGCGUUGGUCCAUUGAUUGAUGGUGCUUGCACCUGAUUGAUUUUGGUCGCCAACGAGUGGCGGACGGGUGAGUAACACGUAGGUAACCUGCCCAGAAGCGGGGGACAACAUUUGGAAACAGAUGCUAAUACCGCAUAACAGCGUUGUUCGCAUGAACAACGCUUAAAAGAUGGCUUCUCGCUAUCACUUCUGGAUGGACCUGCGGUGCAUUAGCUUGUUGGUGGGGUAACGGCCUACCAAGGCGAUGAUGCAUAGCCGAGUUGAGAGACUGAUCGGCCACAAUGGGACUGAGACACGGCCCAUACUCCUACGGGAGGCAGCAGUAGGGAAUCUUCCACAAUGGGCGCAAGCCUGAUGGAGCAACACCGCGUGAGUGAAGAAGGGUUUCGGCUCGUAAAGCUCUGUUGUUAAAGAAGAACACGUAUGAGAGUAACUGUUCAUACGUUGACGGUAUUUAACCAGAAAGUCACGGCUAACUACGUGCCAGCAGCCGCGGUAAUACGUAGGUGGCAAGCGUUAUCCGGAUUUAUUGGGCGUAAAGAGAGUGCAGGCGGUUUUCUAAGUCUGAUGUGAAAGCCUUCGGCUUAACCGGAGAAGUGCAUCGGAAACUGGAUAACUUGAGUGCAGAAGAGGGUAGUGGAACUCCAUGUGUAGCGGUGGAAUGCGUAGAUAUAUGGAAGAACACCAGUGGCGAAGGCGGCUACCUGGUCUGCAACUGACGCUGAGACUCGAAAGCAUGGGUAGCGAACAGGAUUAGAUACCCUGGUAGUCCAUGCCGUAAACGAUGAGUGCUAGGUGUUGGAGGGUUUCCGCCCUUCAGUGCCGGAGCUAACGCAUUAAGCACUCCGCCUGGGGAGUACGACCGCAAGGUUGAAACUCAAAGGAAUUGACGGGGGCCCGCACAAGCGGUGGAGCAUGUGGUUUAAUUCGAAGCUACGCGAAGAACCUUACCAGGUCUUGACAUCUUGCGCCAACCCUAGAGAUAGGGCGUUUCCUUCGGGAACGCAAUGACAGGUGGUGCAUGGUCGUCGUCAGCUCGUGUCGUGAGAUGUUGGGUUAAGUCCCGCAACGAGCGCAACCCUUGUUACUAGUUGCCAGCAUUAAGUUGGGCACUCUAGUGAGACUGCCGGUGACAAACCGGAGGAAGGUGGGGACGACGUCAGAUCAUCAUGCCCCUUAUGACCUGGGCUACACACGUGCUACAAUGGACGGUACAACGAGUCGCGAACUCGCGAGGGCAAGCAAAUCUCUUAAAACCGUUCUCAGUUCGGACUGCAGGCUGCAACUCGCCUGCACGAAGUCGGAAUCGCUAGUAAUCGCGGAUCAGCAUGCCGCGGUGAAUACGUUCCCGGGCCUUGUACACACCGCCCGUCACACCAUGAGAGUUUGUAACACCCAAAGUCGGUGGGGUAACCUUUAGGAGCCAGCCG
This 1439-nucleotide ribosomal RNA is filed under the name Limosilactobacillus fermentum. RNAcentral describes it as "bacterial SSU rRNA". It matches the Rfam family "Bacterial small subunit ribosomal RNA". Lineage: Bacteria; Bacillati; Bacillota; Bacilli; Lactobacillales; Lactobacillaceae. The record is from RNAcentral.